RNAcentral lists this transfer RNA (70 nucleotides) under Bracteacoccus minor. RNAcentral describes it as "tRNA-Cys". It matches the Rfam family "tRNA". From Rfam's summary of the family: Transfer RNA (tRNA) molecules are approximately 80 nucleotides in length. The record is from RNAcentral. Lineage: Eukaryota; Viridiplantae; Chlorophyta; Chlorophyceae; Sphaeropleales; Bracteacoccaceae.
GGUUGAGUCGUCUAAAGGUAAGGCGUAAGAUUGCAAAUCUCAAAAUAGCAGUUCAACUCUGCUCUCAACC